RNAcentral lists this ribosomal RNA (253 nucleotides) under uncultured bacterium. RNAcentral's name for it is "partial 16S ribosomal RNA". It matches the Rfam family "Bacterial small subunit ribosomal RNA", at positions 524 to 776 of the family's 1533-position model. The record is from RNAcentral.
UACGUAGGUGGCGAGCGUUGUCCGGAUUUACUGGGCGUAAAGAGCGCGCAGGCGGUCGUUCAAGUCGCGUGUGAAAGCCCCCGGCUCAACUGGGGAGGGUCACGCGAUACUGAUCGACUCGAAGGCAGGAGGGGGUAGUGGAAUUCCCGGUGUAGUGGUGAAAUGCGUAGAUAUCGGGAGGAACACCAGUGGCGAAGGCGACUACCUGGCCUGUUCUUGACGCUGAGGCGCGAAAGCUAGGGGAGCAAACGGG